AGUGAACGCUGGCGGUAGGCCUAACACAUGCAAGUCGAACGGCAGCACAGUAAGAGCUUGCUCUUACGGGUGGCGAGUGGCGGACGGGUGAGGAAUACAUCGGAAUCUACUUUUUCGUGGGGGAUAACGUAGGGAAACUUACGCUAAUACCGCAUACGACCUACGGGUGAAAGCAGGGGAUCUUCGGACCUUGCGCGAUUGAAUGAGCCGAUGUCGGAUUAGCUAGUUGGCGGGGUAAAGCCCACCAAGGCGACGAUCCGUAGCUGGUCUGAGAGGAUGAUCAGCCACACUGGAACUGAGACACGGUCCAGACUCCUACGGGAGGCAGCAGUGGGGAAUAUUGGACAAUGGGCGCAAGCCUGAUCCAGCCAUACCGCGUGGGUGAAGAAGGCCUUCGGGUUGUAAAGCCCUUUUGUUGGGAAAGAAAAGCAGCAGGUUAAUACCCCGCUGUCCUGACGGUACCCAAAGAAUAAGCACCGGCUAACUUCGUG
Molecule: ribosomal RNA, 491 nt
Filed under: uncultured bacterium
Lineage: Bacteria
Description: partial 16S ribosomal RNA
Rfam family: Bacterial small subunit ribosomal RNA
Source: RNAcentral